AGGGGCAAUUGCGAUCCUAUCACAUGAGGUUGUGGCCUGGUUUGUAGAUUUCACAUCUUAUGGUUGAAUUUAGUGGCAGUAUUAAUAGUGGCAUGGCCCAGGAUAUGACGUUUGUUUUAUACCUAAUAAUUUAAUGAGAGUUCCUGGUUAAAAUCUUGACUAAACAUGUCCAUACCGAUGCUUUCCAAUUCCAUAAUUCUCUUGGCCAGGACAAAUAGUGUUAUUAACAAUCGGCAGCUUUAACCAAUGGACUUUGGCCAUUUGUACUGUAACCAAUGGUCCUUAGAUUCAUGGGCUUGCCAUACGUUUUUCCAAGAUGCAAUUGCUGACAGAAUUUAAUUUUUGCACCACUUGAAAGUCCUUGUAGAUUGAGAAUGUUCAGGGACUUCAGAGAUUAUUGCAAUUGGAGCCUGGAGGGAGGACCGACGACUUUGGUUUUCUACUUGAAUUGAACAAGUCCUCUCUAGUGCCUGAUAAUUCUGCAUCGACGGCGGUCUCUUAAAGUUUCAUAUGUUGCACAUGGCUGGUUAAUGUCCCCUCUAUUAUUUAGCUAACUGCAAGGUCAGGAACUCUUUGAUCAGCAAAAUGAACGGCUGCGGGCAAGAGACCAUACUAUAGUGAUCAGCUUCCGAAAUGGAAAGGUUGCGGGCAAGAGAAGGCACUAUCAUUUGAACAACAAGGAAAAAUUCCCCCUGCCUGUGGAAACGUUUUUCUCGUCACUACCAUUUGAGCUAGAGGACUGUUCUGGGCCAGAAAAUCUCCCUCUACCAAGAUAGCACGCAAAUACCUCAAUCAAGAGAAACGAAACUGGGUGGAAGGGGAAGAAGAAGAAGAAUAAGAAGUAGAAACAAUUUGGUUUUCUUUUCCCAAAUGUAUAAUUGGUUCUUAAAAAGCAAAAAAGGAUUGGAGGUGGGAAAGUGAUUAAUUGGUGAGAAACUAGAAUAGAAGACCUGGAAGGAUGUCCUGAAACUCUUAUAAGAACUUUAGCCCCAUGAUCAGGAGACCGGUGCAAGCAAAGAUGAAUAUGCUUUGGAAUUUGUACGAAGCAUAUUUGAGCUUUUGAGGGAAGCAAAGGAUCAUUUUCCCUUUGCCUUUCUUUCCAUGCUCCAAUCGUCAGGUUGCUUUCCAUUUCUAACUCCUGUUUCUCUGUGUCUCCGCUGAAAUGAAUAAUGAUUAAGGAGUGGUAACAGUUCCUUCCCAGGGUGGGAAAAAACAGGUACGUAAUCUGAAAUGGGAAUGUCCAAAUUGGCAGGUCAGUGAGCUCGUGGUCUUUGAUGCCUUGUCCAUUUUGACUGUACUGGGUUGCUUAGUUGUGAGGGUUACGCCUUGUUGAGCAAGAGCAGCAUUUUUAUUUUCACCCCCAUAGAGCUAAUAUGCUAUUCAUCAGGUUCCAAGGCAGUCCGGGAGCCUGGUCUUGUAUUUUGGGAGGCUGAUGUAUGUAUUAUAUCAAAAAACAUUUGUGAUUACUAAAGUAUAUUUUCUCUAAAAAAAUUGUGAGGCAACUUAAUUUAAUUAAAAUAAGUUUUAUUAAAGAGCAAAGAGAGAGAAAGAGGGAGAGGGCGUCGCGCUGGUGUGAAUCGCUAUUGUCGGACUCUUCUGCCUCUGAGAGGAAGACCGGUGAUAUACUCAGUGCCGAAGUUUGAGUGGUUUCGUUGGCUGCCCCAUGACUAUUCGAGACUGAAAGUGUGAUAGGCUGGUCUGUUUCUGGUUUCUAUUAACAAUUGCCAUUGAAGCAGCUUAUGACAACCAUCGGGGCUCAUUUUGUGCGGUUGGAGUCUACCAAGUUCUUUUUUCCUUGCAUGCAAGUCAAUCACUUUUACUUUCUUUUUUUCGGCUGUUCGGGUUUGGACGAUGCCUACGCAGAGUUUGCUGUGGUGGUUGAUGGUGCUGAACUGUGGCUCUUCUUUUCUGUUCCGAUUUGACUAGUAUUCGAUGAGCAGUAGACAAUCAGUUGUGGACUGCAAUUUUAUGUGUCGUGGGCUUCUUCUUGUUGGACCAUUUGUUCUUUUCUGACUCUUUGAUAGAUCCUUAGUACUGUUGUUCAACGAGCCUUUUAAUGCAAAUCCAUUUACAUGGUAAAAAAAAAGUUUAUUAAAAAAUUAAUUAAAGGAAGGAAAUACAAAAUGGAAGGCCUUGCUUUUUGCUUUCCCCGCUAGUGGUGGUUUCUCUCCCCCACUGGUGUGGUUUUUAUAUUUUUUUAAGCCAGAUCGCGGUGCUGCAUGGUGAGAGUUUCAGGCGAGAUUUGAUGGUGUGUUAAUGGUUUUGUUGUUGUAGUCAUCCUAAUCUUCCCUGAGUACGGGAGGUUGUCAAAGCACGUGGUAGCGAACAUAGCAAAGGAUGUAAGUCGAUCCCCCAUAGCUAGCGGAGAUUGAGACGCUAUGGCCUCUGCUUCUCUUCCGUGACUUUUGGUUUUGGACCCAGAGGUUUCAGUUUCUUGCUUUUUGUGUCGUUGAACGAGUCUGUUCUCUUGAUUUUGCUUUGACAUUUUGGAAGAUCUGUUCUCUUCCUUUAGCGGCUGAAACCUGUCUCAAACGUCUUAGGUCCAGUGCGUGGAUUUUGAGCAGCCCUGUGGUUGUCCUUAUUUGUUUGGGUUCUUCUCAAGCAUGUGAGGCGAUGACGCCUUCUGUGCUUUGCUGUGAAGAUAGCUACCUAGAGUCGUCGGCUUGAGGCGGUGUUACGGUUUGUUUGCUGGGCCUAGUUUCUUUGAAUUGGGCUUUGUGAUUAGGAUGUUAGGCUUUUCUUUUUUAGCCUUUCAUAGCCUAGUUGUAUCUUCUGCCCUUAUAGCCUUUUAAUGCAAUUAUAAUUUUCAUUUAAAAAAAAUUAGUAA
This is a long non-coding RNA of Manihot esculenta (cassava), 2827 nucleotides long. RefSeq lists it as uncharacterized. The transcript has 5 exons. The record is from RefSeq and is a predicted model, not a curated record. Lineage: Eukaryota; Viridiplantae; Streptophyta; Magnoliopsida; Malpighiales; Euphorbiaceae.